GUGCUCUCAUUUCAUGUACCUUCACUUACCCAAAUUAUGCAAAACCUUUUAAUAACGUUGUGUGGUAUGUGUGUAAAAACGGUCAGUGUAAGGAUGAAAUCUUCAAGGCGAAAGUCAGUAAAAAUAUUGAAAACAAAUUUGGAGAGAAAGAAACUGAAACUGGACAGAUUAAGAUGCUUGAUCCUGGCCUGACCGAAAACAACUGUAGCAUCAUCAUGAAAAACAUAAAGGCAGAAGAUAAAAAGGAAUAUGCAUUCAGAGUGGAGGGGUCACAUUCAUAUCUAUACACAUAUAAACCCACAGUCAAACUCAUCAUUCAAGAUGAGCCUAUAAUGUACGUUCCUCUUCUCAGUGAAGGAGAGGAGGCCAAUCUGACAUGUCCAGCUCCUUUUCCUUGUCCUGAAACUCCUCCUGAAAUAACAUGGUGGAUCAAGACAAGAGAGGGAAACAUCAUUGAUCUAAAGGACAACAUCAUCACACUGAUCACCUCCAAAAUCCUUUACCUCUCAACUUUGACAUUAACUCCAACCUCUGACCUGCACAAUGCCACUGUAGGAUGUGACGUCAGCUACGGAAGCAAAAACAUCAGUACGAGUGGGACCCUCGA
RNAcentral lists this long non-coding RNA (607 nucleotides) under Sinocyclocheilus grahami. Its description in RNAcentral is "lncRNA (ENSSGRG00000003019.1)". The record is from RNAcentral. Lineage: Eukaryota; Metazoa; Chordata; Actinopteri; Cypriniformes; Cyprinidae.